GCACAAGGUACGAUCAGUUUUUACAGACUCUUCCGAUAGGUUUGUUGUAAAAGCAUGGAUUUUGGUUUUGUGUAUUGCCCCAAAAGGGGGGAAAUCAAGGGGAAUCAUUUUCCCGAGUUGAAAAUUGGGUUGCAUCAAGACGCCGUUUUGAUUAUUAAGCUACCAGAUUCGAGGGCUUUAAGGAUUAUGUCACGGUCUUUGUUCUUUGCAAUGGUUCUUUUCAUAUUGCCGUCAAUUGGGUCCAUUUUAAGAGGCUCAUUCGAUGUAAUUGAUGAUUCUUAUGUGAAUUCUGAUGGGAGGGACUUCAAUGUGUUGCAUAAUCUUUUUCGCGAUUUGGCAGAUGAAGGCCUUGUCAAGAAGGGGCAUAAAGGACUUGUUUUGAGUUCUGAGAAUGAUCGUUUGAUCAAAGAUUUGGAAUUGUCGAAUGACAAUGUGGUUGAUUUGGUGCUUGAUUCGGAUAUGGAUUACAAGAAUUCGAUUCCAAAUGAGACAUUCGAUUUUGCAAUUGCUCAGAAUGAAUGGAACAGUAAGUUCAUUGACCGUGUACUCAAGAUUGGUGGCAUUGUUGUAACUCAACUCAGCAAUGAUCCUUUAGCUGAGCUUAAAGCUCUAGCAAACUACAGAAUCGUGUAUAUUCGACGAUUUGACAAGACUUUGGUGGGAGUUAGGAAAACUGGGGUACUAAAUGCUGAACUGAAUUCACAGAAAAAGGACAUUGUUUGUGGAAGCACACCUGAGGCUAAAAAAGUUGCAUUGAAAGGAUUAGAGGAUGUGUUGCUCGAACCGCCAAAAAGGGCAUUGCUGAAAUCAUUUUCAAGGAAGAUGAAGUUUCUUCCUGAGUUGUUAGGUGAUUCUCUUGAGAAUUACCCUCGAAGAAUCUUCAUUUCUGAUGAGAAAAAUGGGGUAGCAGAAUGGUUUAAGAGGAGCUACCCUGCAAAUAAUCAAGAUUUCGAGAUUUACAACUUGGAUGUUGAAAUCCAAGAGUCAGAGCAAUCAGGGGAUGGAGUAGCCUUAGUUGGGACAGCAGAAUGGUUGAGCAAAAAUGUUAAGGAAGAAGACUACGUUGUGAUGAAGGCUGAAGCAGAAGUGGUUGAGGAAAUAAUCAAGAAGAAAGCAAUAUGUUUGGUAGAUGAGUUGUUCUUGCACUGCAGAAACCAAUUAGAAGAAGUUGGUAAUGAUGAUGAUGAUGAAGAGGAAAAUGGAAGCCAAAAGAGGGCUUAUUGGCAAUGUUUGACAUUGUAUGGGAAGUUAAUAGAUGAAGGUAUUGCAGUGCACCAAUGGUGGAGUUGAAUCUAAGACACUUGAUUUAGCUUUGUCCUUUAUCAGUCUCUUGUUAUUGUUGUUCAUUUCAUGUAUCAUGUGUUCAGUGGUCAUCAGUGGCUUUGGCUUUCUUGUUUGAGCCAUUUGUUGUUUAAUUCUACUCUCUUUCUGUUGGCAUGAAGACUGUUGCCUCAUUUAUUUAAUGUUUU
Molecule: unclassified non-coding RNA, 1469 nt
Filed under: Hevea brasiliensis (rubber tree)
Lineage: Eukaryota; Viridiplantae; Streptophyta; Magnoliopsida; Malpighiales; Euphorbiaceae
Source: RNAcentral